UUUAGUCUCUGUAUUGUCUUUGUCUUGUAUCAGUUCCUCAUCUUGUCUUGCUUCUUUGUCUUCCCUUCCUGGUUUUCCCUGCGUCGUUCCUUCCUGGUUGUUUUUUUUUCCCCCUGUCAUGUCUUCUGGUUAUCUUCGUUUGUGCCUGCCUACCUCUGGACACCUUUUGUUCCAUGGCAAAGCUCCAGAUGGGACCGUAGAGGAGGUUGAUAAAGUGGUGAAGUUCAAAGCUCCCACUGAAUAAGAGGAGGAAGCAGCAAAGAACAAACGAGCGGCCCAUUCUUACUGGCUCACUGGUCCAGGCAGUGUGCCAGACAAUGGCCAACCAGGACUUUUCAUCGGGUCAGUUUGCUCUGGGAACUCCAGCCUCCAGAUCCUGCUAACGCUAAUGGACUUCAGAGAUGUGAGCUGCCAGGAGGGGGUGUUGCAGUUAGAGCCUGAGGCUGAAUCAUAUUUGGACCUAAGGUGCGAUUGUGGUGCCAGCCAGCAGUCCACCUUAGUGACCCCACCCAAGUGGGUGACAUCUCAUCCAACAUCCAACUGUCACCCACUGACCUUAAAGGUUCCUUCUGAUGUUUCUUCGUCGUCCCUGUAAGUGGACCAGGCCGAAUCAGCACUCCUCCCCUUCAUACAUCAAUGUAAUUUGGCACUGGAUUGGACUGGACGUCAUUAUUUUUACUCUCAUGACAUGGGGAUGAGUUGGCCAGUAUUCCCUUGUCUUGCUCUCUGGGAAAG
Long non-coding RNA from Perca fluviatilis (European perch), 735 nucleotides. RefSeq lists it as uncharacterized. NCBI's taxonomy places the organism in Eukaryota, Metazoa, Chordata, Actinopteri, Perciformes, Percidae. The transcript is spliced from 5 exons. The record is from RefSeq and is a predicted model, not a curated record.